GUAGGUGGCAAGCGUUGUCCGGAAUUAUUGGGCGUAAAGCGCGCGCAGGCGGUUCUUUAAGUCUGAUGUGAAAGCCCACGGGCUCAACCGUGGAGGGUCAUUGGAAACUGGAGAACUUGAGUACAGAAGAGGAAAGCGGAAUUCCACGUGUAGCGGUGAAAUGCGUAGAGAUGUGGAGGAACACCAGUGGCGAAGGCGGCUUUCUGGUCUGUAACUGGCGCUGAGGCGCGAAAGCGUGGGGAGCAAACAGGAUUAGAUACCCUGGUAGUCCACGCCGUAAACGAUGAGUGCUAAGUGUUAGGGGGUUUCCGCCCCUUAGUGCUGCAGCUAACGCAUUAGGCACUCCGCCUGGGGAGUACGGCCGCAAGGCUG
This 372-nucleotide ribosomal RNA is filed under the name uncultured organism. Its description in RNAcentral is "partial 16S ribosomal RNA". It matches the Rfam family "Bacterial small subunit ribosomal RNA", at positions 527 to 896 of the family's 1533-position model. The record is from RNAcentral.